Long non-coding RNA from Zingiber officinale, 590 nucleotides. RefSeq lists it as uncharacterized. Lineage: Eukaryota; Viridiplantae; Streptophyta; Magnoliopsida; Zingiberales; Zingiberaceae. The transcript is spliced from 3 exons. The record is from RefSeq and is a predicted model, not a curated record.
CGCCUUCUCUCGUGCCGGAGCAUCGUUAACGAGGCAGCCCGUGCUCGGUUCUCACCACGAACCAAAGACGAGUAGCGAAGGAUUCGCAAGAAGCUUUCUUUCCUCGGAACACAUCCGCAAUCGCUUGCUCUCAGGAUCAAAUCUUCUCCCUUCUGGAAAUGGUGCUACAAUAAGAGUAACCUCUUUCGUCAUCGGACAAAUAUGUGCAGGUUUGGCAACUGAUUAGUAGCCUAAGAUGCCGCUAGAAGAGAAGAAACACUAGUAUCUGUUUCAACUUCUUUGCAAAAACUGAGCAAGAGCCUUAUAUUAAUUUUCUUACUCCGCCAUUUAACGAUGCUCCUCUUGCUGGAAAGUUAGAGGUUGAACAAGUAGUUGAACAGAAACUCCACUGUGCGUGUGUUCAUCACCAUUUGCAUUAUUAGGCAUUCAGCUGAUGGUAUCUUACACUUUCUCUCAAUGCAUCAUUUUGUCUCGUAUGCUUCGACUCGUGGUCCUCAUAAAUUCCAUUUUAUUAGUUUCUGGAUGAGAGUCGAGGAAAAAAAAACCCAUCUACAACCACAGAUAUCUGCUUUUCUCUUAUUGUCAAACUA